AAUAAUAUAAAUUAAUAUGAAUGGAUUUAUAAUAAUUAUUAAUGAUUUAUAAAUUUAAUUAUUAAAUUUAUGAUAAAAUAAAAUUUAGUAAAAAAGUUAUAAUUUUAAUUAAUUAUUAAUUAAUAAGAUUAAAUAAUAAACUAGGAUUAGAUACCCUAUUAUUUUAAUUUUAAAUAUUUAAGAAGGAGUAAAAUUAUAAGAAAUAUAAAAAUUAUGGCGGUGUUUUAUUUAAAAUAGAGAAAUUUGUCGCAUAAAUGAUAAUCCACGAUAGGAUAGACUUAUUUUUAAGCUUAUGUAUGUUCAUAUUAAAGUUGUUUUAUAAAAACAUGACUGAUAUUUUUUAUAUUUAUAUAAUUAAAAAAGUAAUUUAGAUCAAUAUGUAGCAAUAAAUAAGAGUUAGAUGAAUUACAUUUAUAGAUUUGAUUAUUAAUUUUAAUAUUAAUAUGAAAUAGAAUUUAUUAGUAAAUUUUAUAAAUUAGUAAGAUUGAAAUUUAAUUUAGAACAUGUACAAAUCGCCCGUCACUUCUAUUUAAAUUAGAGGAAGUCGUAACAAAGUAAAUGUACUGGAAAGUGUAUUUAGUUAAA
Molecule: ribosomal RNA, 585 nt
Filed under: Ceratosolen solmsi
Lineage: Eukaryota; Metazoa; Arthropoda; Insecta; Hymenoptera; Agaonidae
Description: partial 12S ribosomal RNA
Source: RNAcentral